CCUACGGGCGGCAGCAGUGGGGAAUAUUGCACAAUGGGGGAAACCCUGAUGCAGCGACGCCGCGUGAGUGAAGAAGUAUUUCGGUACGUAAAGCUCUAUCAGCAGGGAAGAAAAUGACGGUACCUGACUAAGAAGCCCCGGCUAACUACGUGCCAGCAGCCGCGGUAAUACGUAGGGGGCAAGCGUUAUCCGGAUUUACUGGGUGUAAAGGGAGCGUAGACGGCAGCGCAAGUCUGGAGUGAAAUCCCAUGGCUUAACCAUGGAACUGCUUUGGAAACUGUGCAGCUAGAGUGCAGGAGAGGUAAGCGGAAUUCCUGGGGUAGCGGUGAAAUGCGUAGAUAUUAGGAGGAACACCAGUGGCGAAGGCGGCUUACUGGACUGUAACUGACGUUGAGGCUCGAAAGCGUGGGGAGCAAACAGGAUUAGAUACCCGGGUAGUC
Molecule: ribosomal RNA, 440 nt
Filed under: uncultured bacterium
Lineage: Bacteria
Description: partial 16S ribosomal RNA
Rfam family: Bacterial small subunit ribosomal RNA
Source: RNAcentral